Molecule: ribosomal RNA, 576 nt
Filed under: uncultured bacterium
Lineage: Bacteria
Description: bacterial SSU rRNA
Rfam family: Bacterial small subunit ribosomal RNA
Source: RNAcentral
ACGGGUGAGUAAUGUCUGGGAAACUGCCUGAUGGAGGGGGAUAACUACUGGAAACGGUAGCUAAUACCGCAUAAUGUCGCAAGACCAAAGAGGGGGACCUUCGGGCCUCUUGCCAUCAGAUGUGCCCAGAUGGGAUUAGCUAGUAGGUGGGGUAAUGGCUCACCUAGGCGACGAUCCCUAGCUGGUCUGAGAGGAUGACCAGCCACACUGGAACUGAGACACGGUCCAGACUCCUACGGGAGGCAGCAGUGGGGAAUAUUGCACAAUGGGCGCAAGCCUGAUGCAGCCAUGCCGCGUGUAUGAAGAAGGCCUUCGGGUUGUAAAGUACUUUCAGCGAGGAGGAAGGCAUUGUGGUUAAUAACCACAGUGAUUGACGUUACUCGCAGAAGAAGCACCGGCUAACUCCGUGCCAGCAGCCGCGGUAAUACGGAGGGUGCAAGCGUUAAUCGGAAUUACUGGGCGUAAAGCGCACGCAGGCGGUCUGUCAAGUCGGAUGUGAAAUCCCCGGGCUCAACCUGGGAACUGCAUUCGAAACUGGCAGGCUAGAGUCUUGUAGAGGGGGGUAGAAUUCCAGGU